GCCAGCAUGGCAGAGUGGUUUGAGUGUUGGACUAUAACUCUGAAGACUGGGGUUCGAUCCCCAGCUCAGCCA
This 72-nucleotide transfer RNA is filed under the name Phrynosoma platyrhinos (Desert horned lizard). RNAcentral describes it as "tRNA-OTHER". Lineage: Eukaryota; Metazoa; Chordata; Lepidosauria; Squamata; Phrynosomatidae. The record is from RNAcentral.